ACUUGGCUGGCUCAGUCACUAGAGCAUGUGACUCUUGAUCUCAGGGUUAUGAGUUCGAGCCCCACGCUGGGUG
This 73-nucleotide transfer RNA is filed under the name Felis catus (domestic cat). It matches the Rfam family "tRNA". Rfam says of the family: Transfer RNA (tRNA) molecules are approximately 80 nucleotides in length. Their secondary structure includes four short double-helical elements and three loops (D, anti-codon, and T loops). Further hydrogen bonds mediate the characteristic L-shaped molecular structure. tRNAs have two regions of fundamental functional importance: the anti-codon, which is responsible for specific mRNA codon recognition, and the 3' end, to which the tRNAs corresponding amino acid is attached (by aminoacyl-tRNA synthetases). tRNAs cope with the degeneracy of the genetic code in two manners: having more than one tRNA (with a specific anti-codon) for a particular amino acid; and 'wobble' base-pairing, i.e. permitting non-standard base-pairing at the 3rd anti-codon position. Lineage: Eukaryota; Metazoa; Chordata; Mammalia; Carnivora; Felidae. The record is from Rfam by way of RNAcentral.